GACGAACGCUGGCGGCGUGCUUAACACAUGCAAGUCGAACGGUAAGGCCCCUCGGGGUACACGAGUGGCGAACGGGUGAGUAACACGUGGGUGAUCUGCCCUGCACUUCGGGAUAAGCCUGGGAAACUGGGUCUAAUACCGGAUAGGACUCCUGGCUUCAUGGUUGGGGGUGGAAAGCUUUUGCGGUGUGGGAUUGGCCCGCGGCCUAUCAGCUUGUUGGUGGGGUAAUGGCCUACCAAGGCGACGACGGGUAGCGGGCCUGAGAGGGUGACCGGUCACACUGGGAAUGCGAUACGGCCCAGACUCCUACGGGAGGCAGCAGUGGGGAAUAUUGCACAAUGGGCGCAAGCCUGAUGCAGCGACGCCGCGUGAGGGAUGACGGCCUUCGGGUUGUAAGCCUCUUUCAGCUAUGACGAAGCGCAAGUGACGGUAGUAGCAGAAGAAGGACCGGCCAACUACGUGCCAGCCGCCGCAGUAA
This 478-nucleotide ribosomal RNA is filed under the name uncultured bacterium. RNAcentral describes it as "partial 16S ribosomal RNA". It matches the Rfam family "Bacterial small subunit ribosomal RNA", at positions 28 to 523 of the family's 1533-position model. The record is from RNAcentral.